GUGUCAGCCGCCGCGGUAAGACAGAGGGUGCAAACGUUGCUCGGAAUUACUGGGCGUAAAGCGCGUGUAGGUGGAUUGGUGUGUCAGAUGUGAAAUCCCUGGGCUCAACCCAGGAACUGCACCUGAAACUACCAGUCUUGAGUGGUGGAGAGGGAAGUGGAAUUCCUGGUGUAGAGGUGAAAUUCGUAGAUAUCAGGAGGAACACCAGUGGCGAAGGCGGCUUCCUGGACACCAACUGACGCUGAGACGCGAAAGCGUGGGGAGCAAACAGGAUUAGAAACCCCCGUAGUCC
RNAcentral lists this ribosomal RNA (292 nucleotides) under uncultured bacterium. RNAcentral's name for it is "partial 16S ribosomal RNA". It matches the Rfam family "Bacterial small subunit ribosomal RNA", at positions 505 to 796 of the family's 1533-position model. The record is from RNAcentral.